This 753-nucleotide ribosomal RNA is filed under the name uncultured bacterium. Its description in RNAcentral is "bacterial SSU rRNA". It matches the Rfam family "Bacterial small subunit ribosomal RNA", at positions 28 to 768 of the family's 1533-position model. The record is from RNAcentral.
GAUGAACGCUAGCUACCGGUUUAACACAUGCAAGUCGAGGGGCAGCAUGAAAGGAACUUCCGUUCUUUUUGAUGGCGACCGGCGCACGGGUGCGUAACGCGUAUCGAACCUGCCUCAUACUCGGGGAUAGCCUUGCGAAAGUAAGAUUAAUACCCGGCGGUCUCGGAUGGCCGCAUGACUAUCCGAGUGAAGAUUUAUCGGUAUGAGAUGGCGAUGCGUCCCAUUAGCUAGUUGGUGAGGUAAUGGCUCACCAAGGCAUCGAUGGGUAGGGGUUCUGAGAGGAAGGUCCCCCACAUUGGAACUGAGACACGGUCCAAACUCCUACGGGAGGCAGCAGUGAGGAAUAUUGGUCAAUGGACGAAAGUCUGAACCAGCCAAGUAGCGUGCAGGACGACGGCCCUCUGGGUUGUAAACUGCUUUUAGUUGGGAAUAAAAAGAGGGACGUGUCCCUUAUUGUAUGUACCAUCAGAAAAAGGACCGGCUAAUUCCGUGCCAGCAGCCGCGGUAAUACGGAAGGUCCAGGCGUUAUCCGGAUUUAUUGGGUUUAAAGGGAGCGCAGGCGGCGGCGUAAGUCAGUUGUGAAAUCGUGCGGCUUAACCGUGCAAUUGCAGUUGAUACUGCGUCGCUUGAGUGCACACAGGGAUGUUGGAAUUCAUGGUGUAGCGGUGAAAUGCUUAGAUAUCAUGAAGAACUCCGAUCGCGAAGGCAUAUGUCCGGAGUGCAACUGACGCUGAGGCUCGAAAGUGUGGGUAU